CAAGCUCACGGCAGCGACGGAGACGACUGUUCCGUCUCCGGCUUCGACUCCGCCGAGAAAGUCAUCAUGAAAUGGGACGCCACGGCGUCGGAAGAAGCCAGAGAGAAGAUGAUCUUCACCGAUCCGCAGGAAGUGAAGCUUUACCUCCACGCCGUCGACGAAAUCCAACGGCACGUUUCCUCCCCCGGCGAGCUCGAGUCCCGAGCCAGCUCAGCGAUCCAGAUCGCCAUGGCUCGCCUCGAGGACGAGUUCCGCAACAUCCUCGUCUCGCACAGCUCUCCCAUCAACUCGGACUCUCUAAUGUCCUCUUCCUCCUCUUCUUCUCACCUUGAGGUUGACGAAGACGCGAGUAACAACAACAACGAAGAAGAUGAUCAAGAAGAGGAAACGGAUCUUCUCAAACGAACCGGGUCUAGCUCCAGCUCCGGUUCAGCCACGGUCCGGUUACCAACCGGACGUGGAAGCUACAGUAGAUCCACCAGCAGCAUACGCGAGAUCGAGCUGAUCCCUAUCGACGCGGUGGUGUACCUGAGCUGGAUCGCUCGGCGUAUGGUCUCCGCCGGGUACCUCCGGGAGUGCAUUCAAGUCUACGGCAGCGUGCGCAAAUCCGCCGUGGACUCCUCCUUCCGGCGGCUAGGGAUCGAGAAGCUGAGCAUCGGAGACGUGCAGAGGCUCAACUGGGAGGCGCUCGAGCAGAAGAUCCGCCGCUGGAUCCGCGCGGCGAAGGUCUGCGUGAGAGUUGUCUUCGCGAGCGAGAAGCUUCUCUGCGAGCACGUGUUCGAGAGCGUCGGGGCUGUUAACAUCCACGAGGCUUGCUUCAUGGAGACGGUCAAAGGUCCGGCGAUCCAGCUGUUCAACUUCGCCGAGGCGAUAAGCAUUAGCCGGAGAUCGCCGGAGAAGUUGUUCAAGAUCCUUGAUCUCCACGACGCGUUGAUCGAGCUUUUGCCGGAUAUAGAGUCGGUGUUCGAUCUGAAGUCUUCGGACUCGAUUAGGGUUCAGGCGGCGGAGAUACUCUCGAGGUUGGCGGAAGCUGCGAGAGGGAUACUGUCGGAAUUCGAAAACGCUGUCUUGCGUGAGCCGUCGAGGGUUCCUGUCCCUGGAGGGACUAUACAUCCGUUGACUAGGUAUGUGAUGAACUACAUUAGUUUGAUCUCUGAGUACAGACCAACGUUAGUUGAUCUCAUCAUGUCUAAACCGUCGAGGAACGCUACGGAUACAAACGCGCCGGAGAUGGACUUCUCCGAGGUUGAGAACAAAGGUCCGUUAGCUCUCCAUCUGAUCUGGAUCAUACUGAUCCUUCAGUUCAAUCUCGAAGGGAAGUCUAAGUACUACAGAGAUGCGGCAUUGUCGCAUCUCUUUGUUAUGAACAAUGUGCACUACAUUGUCCAGAAGAUCAAAGGGUCGACAGAGCUAAAGGAAAUGAUUGGAGAUCUUUACUUGAGGAAGCUAACGGGUAAGUUCAGGCAAGCCGCUACGUAUUACCAAAGAGCCGCUUGGGUCAAAGUGUUGUAUUGCUUGAGAGAUGAAGGGUUAAGGACAAAGGGAAGCUUUGCAUCAGGUGUAUCCAGGAGCGCGUUGAGAGAGAGGUUUAAGUCUUUCAAUGCUCUGUUUGAGGAAGUUCAUAGGGUUCAGUCACAAUGGUUGGUUCCGGAUUCUCAGCUUAGGGAAGAGCUGAAGAUAUCGAUAUUGGAGAAGCUUAGUCCGGCUUACAGAUCGUUUCUUGGACGGUUCAGGAGCCAUAUAGAGAGCGGGAAGCACCCGGAGAAUUACAUCAAGAUCACAGUUGAAGAGCUGGAGACCGAGGUUCUUGACUUGUUCGAGGGGCUAACUGCAACUCAGCAGCAUCAGAGAAGACGAUCAGAAUGAAGAGAUAAGUGCUCUUUCUUUCUACUCUUCAUAGAGCUUUACAAAAAAAUAGAUUCUUUGAAUUUUUUUUCGCAAUUUCGGGUUCUUUGCGUGAGAGCCAAAAUUCAAAGCCAAGAAAGGACUGAUUCAACCUUUGAUUUUAAUUUUUCAGAUUCAUGAGUUUGUAAUGUUGUAUGAACUUAUAAUACAUCUGUCUGGUUACUUGCCAAAUUCUUAGCUCACAUCUUUAUUUGUUCAUAUGAUGAAACUUUGUUGUGUCAAUGUCAUAUAUCCCUUUGUAUGCUUAUUUGCUAUUGUUGUUUGUUAGUUUUGGUUUUAUCCAUAAUCCAUUCUUGUCUUUCAUGGACCAAAACAUAUGUUACAAGACAAAACCUAGCUCAGGUGUAAAAUGCAAUUUAGGUCAACAUUACAUUAAGACGAAAACAUGGCAACACAACUAACUUAGUUUAACUAACACUACAAUACAGGCUGCUGUGGUCAAACUAAACUAAACCCCCGUGACCUAUUAGAAUACAUAUAGUAAAAUAUUAGGUGUUCAUUAAAAGUAAAGGUGUAAGUAGAACUGUAGAAGAAGAUCGAAUGUGACUACUAUCCCACUACUUUACUCCCUUUUCUCUUCCUCCAAAUCUUUGUCUGAUUCUUCUUCGUCAGCUUGUAAAGAUCUUGUUUGAGAUGUUCUUGACUUCUUGAGACUUCUUGAGAAGGAAUCCGAGAUGGUUUAAUGAGGGUUAGUGUGUAAUCAUCCUCCUCAAACUCCCCACUUGGAUCACCAGAAGAUCCAGAGAACGCGUACCUACAAGAUGAUAAUGACGGUACAAACUCAUAGACGCCUUGCUAUUUGCUUAAUCUUCUUGGAUAUGGUGUUACCUAGUUAAGUUUUGGGAUGGAGCCCAGAGAGAACAUUAUAAUACCUAAGAGCUAGAAGGAGAGAAGUUGCCAAAAGGCUGGGAUGAUCCAAGCGUUCUUCCAGAUGGUCUUCCCUUCAACAACCAAAUUCUUGAGGUCAGGAUCACAAUGAAUGAAGCAGAGGUUGUACAUUCCUCUCUUGUUAUUGUUUCUUCUCUUGAGGGAAACUCGCCGUCUUCACAUUAGCACACACAUACACACAAAUCACAAUUGCGAUUUUAUUAUAAUCACAGAAAGUCACAAAUAACGAUUCAGUAAUAAAUCUAAUACUAGUUCUAUUGUGCGGUUCCAAAAAUAUAAGAACUGUUCGAAUAUUUAUGAAUAUCAGCUUGAUUUCUAUUCGGUUUGGGGUCUAAAUGCUCAGGGUUAGUCUCAAGUUACAAACGUGCAUGCUGUAAACUUUGGUAUUAGAGACACACACCUUAGCACACGCACAAAAAACGUCAUUAGCGAUUUAACUAUCAAAGAAAUUCACAAAUUUACGUUCAAUACCAUGUUUUGUCGUCCAAUAAUAUGCCUAUAUCACGUGUUUGUGUAUACAUACGUACGUGACGCAAAUAUUGAAAUUGUAUGACAGCUAAGCACAGCUGGAGAUUAACGGAUCGUGAAAUUAUUAUCGGUUUUUCUUCUUCUCCUUCUUCUUCCCCCUAUGAAUAAUUUAAUUAUUGCCAGGAUUUAUAGACAACAAAAUACCCAUCCCUGCAUUUGAUUAUUAAUUACUCAUACUCUAGCUACGAACAAAAAAAUAAUAUGAGCACGAAUAAAUUAUACUAUUGGGUUACUAUAAUUAUUUUAUUAAAUUCUAAUAGGUUAGAUGCAAAUCAUGCAAUACUAUAAUAAGUUAAGUGGCACUAACUAUAAAUCUAUGCACAUUGAACCGGGACAAAUACUUCUGGAUUUAGUGAAUAUCCAAACAUCAAAUCAAAAUGUACACUAUUGUCUAGAGUUAUAUAAUCGACACAUCUAAUGACAUUUGCUUACCCAAUAAAUGUUUUGCAUAAAGUGAGCUGUUCACAUUCAUAUUAAUGACAUACGAGAGGCUUUUAAAUUAAGGAAAAUUGCAUUUUAUUGAAAUCGUCAUCGGUUUGUACUCGUAUUUGUUUUUAAAACUAAAAUCUAGAUUAAAAAAGACUCCAGUAAUUCUCUCACUGGCUCAAUCCAGCACAGCACCACUCGUGCAACAUUAUUAUAUUUUCUUUGUAUUAUUGACUUCAUGUUUCUCGACUGUCCCAUAUCAAUAACUAAUGAUAAUUGAUAAUGUUUCCCCACGGUAAUUUAAGGAAACUAAAUAAUUCAGUCCUCUUUGUUGUAUUUACCAGAAAUUACAGUUACUGUAUGACUCAUCAACAUUAAAAGAAAGAAAGCAUAGAAUUAGAAAUGAUAAUUGUAUGUAUAAAUUUUAUAUCCACGGUGGAUAGUCCACCUAAUUAAUAUAAUGAUUAACGUUACAACCUAUAAGAAGAAAAAGAAGAGUUGGGCUUUUUCUUUUGUUGUCUUGAGUUAUAAUUUGUUUUAUCAUCGUGAAUCUUUUUAAAAGCCAUAAUGCGUGGGAAAUCGGGUGCAAGCACGUGAAUGUCGGCCCAUUGUUGCAGUCGAAUAGUUGACUUAAUUCACAUGAUUCUGAUUAUUAAAAAAACAUAUUUCUUUCUGUUUAACCAGAUUAAAAAACUAUAGUAGAACUUGCAUUAUUUUAAUUUGAAAAAGGACUUAUAUGAUAAAUAGUGAAUCGUCCUGGGAGUUUUAUUCUGAUCCGAAACCUCAAACCAAAACUUAAACAUUGAAUUUAAACCGGACCAAAACUUAUCUAUAUGAAUCUAAAAUCUCUAUGUCCAAAAAGUAUAAAAACCGAUUCAAACUCAAAUGAAAAAUUGAAUGUCCAUGCAUGUUUAAACCUUUAAAUUUCUAUGUAUUUAUAAUCAAAAUAUUAGUUCAUUUAAAAAUUUGUGAUAUUUUAGAUAGUAUAAAACUUUAAUGUCUAAUUUUAAAUUUAUAUAAUAUAUCAUUUUAGUUAUUUCUGAUUUAUUUAUAUUUUAUAUAUUUUCGAGUAAAUUCAGUGUUGCUAAAAAUAAAAUAAAAAGAUUGAAUUGAAGAAUGCCCAUUAUUUAGAAAUUUACAUGUAUAAAAUAUUAGAACCAAAUUGACACAAAAUUGAUUAGGAGGACCGAUCUACAAUAUGCAAGUCUUAAUAACUAUUCUAUAAAAAAAAAACUAAAUCUAGUAAGAAUCUACCCAACUCAAACCCGAAUGUCGAGACCUAAUAGUGAGUGUCAAGUUUAACAUUUUAAAGUUUUAACUUACAAAAAUGUGGGGGUAUAUCGAUCAAAGUGUUUCCAUCAACUUUAAAAAGGCGCCUCGCAUGACGGUUAAGAGCUGUUAAAAAGCAUACAAGUUAAAACCCGGAUGUGUUCUGCAUUAAUUAAUAACCAAAAAGCAUCUUUCAAGUUCGACUGUUUGCUCUCUCUCUCUCUCUCUCCACUUUUUGUUUGUAUUCUCGUAUGAAACCAUGGAACCCCAGGAGCAAGCUCACGGCAGCGACGGAGACGACUGUUCCGUCUCCGGCUUCGACUCCGCCGAGAAAGUCAUCAUGAAAUGGGACGCCACGGCGUCGGAAGAAGCCAGAGAGAAGAUGAUCUUCACCGAUCCGCAGGAAGUGAAGCUUUACCUCCACGCCGUCGACGAAAUCCAACGGCACGUUUCCUCCCCCGGCGAGCUCGAGUCCCGAGCCAGCUCAGCGAUCCAGAUCGCCAUGGCUCGCCUCGAGGACGAGUUCCGCAACAUCCUCGUCUCGCACAGCUCUCCC
This 5572-nucleotide long non-coding RNA is filed under the name Brassica napus (rape). Its description in RNAcentral is "long non-coding RNA (BNAP_LNC011183)". The record is from RNAcentral. Lineage: Eukaryota; Viridiplantae; Streptophyta; Magnoliopsida; Brassicales; Brassicaceae.